UAGCUGUUUGGUUUUCGGUUCAGUUCCAAAUUUUCUUUUUUUCUUGUUUUCGAUUUGGUCUCGGUUCGAUAAUGGGUUUUAGUUUUUGGUUCAAGAGAUAUAUGAACCGUUCAUUUAUUUAUGAAUUUGUUUUUUUGUUUUGGUUUUGGUUUUGGUUUGGUUAUUUUGUUUUCAGUUUUGUUCGGAUAACAAUGUUCGAUUGUGGUUUUGACCAGCGCUUUAAAAGCACGGGAUUUAUCUUUAGUAAAUUUUAUAAUAUAUUAUAGUUUAUUGAUUAUUAUAUGUAUUUUAAAUUU
This 296-nucleotide long non-coding RNA is filed under the name Brassica napus (rape). RNAcentral describes it as "long non-coding RNA (BNAP_LNC005202)". The record is from RNAcentral. Lineage: Eukaryota; Viridiplantae; Streptophyta; Magnoliopsida; Brassicales; Brassicaceae.